Molecule: ribosomal RNA, 253 nt
Filed under: uncultured bacterium
Lineage: Bacteria
Description: partial 16S ribosomal RNA
Rfam family: Bacterial small subunit ribosomal RNA
Source: RNAcentral
UACAGAGGGUGCGAGCGUUAAUCGGAAUUACUGGGCGUAAAGCGUGCGUAGACGGUUAUUUAAGUCGGGUGUGAAAGCCCCGGGCUCAACCUGGGAAUUGCAUUCGAGACUGAAUAGCUAGGGUACGGUAGAGGGAAGUGGAAUUUCCGGUGUAGCGGUGAAAUGCGUAGAGAUCGGGAGGAACACCAGUGGCGAAGGCGGCUACCUGGACCAGCACUGACACUGAGGCACGAAAGCGUGGGGAGCAAACAGG